GACGAACGCUGGCGGUGUGCUUAACACAUGCAAGUCGAACGGAAAGGCCCUGCUUUUGUGGGGUGCUCGAGUGGCGAACGGGUGAGUAACACGUGAGUAACCUGCCCUUGACUUUGGGAUAACUUCAGGAAACUGGGGCUAAUGCCGGAUAGGAGCUCCUGCUGCAUGGUGGGGGUUGGAAAGUUUCGGCGGUUGGGGAUGGACUCGCGGCUUAUCAGCUUGUUGGUGGGGUAGUGGCUUACCAAGGCUUUGACGGGUAGCCGGCCUGAGAGGGUGACCGGCCACAUUGGGACUGAGAUACGGCCCAGACUCCUACGGGAGGCAGCAGUGGGGAAUAUUGCACAAUGGGCGGAAGCCUGAUGCAGCAACGCCGCGUGCGGGAUGACGGCCUUCGGGUUGUAAACCGCUUUCGCCUGUGACGAAGCGUGAGUGACGGUAAUGGGUAAAGAAGCACCGGCUAACUACGUG
This 468-nucleotide ribosomal RNA is filed under the name uncultured bacterium. RNAcentral's name for it is "partial 16S ribosomal RNA". It matches the Rfam family "Bacterial small subunit ribosomal RNA", at positions 28 to 507 of the family's 1533-position model. The record is from RNAcentral.